CACCGGACCCUUGACCCACUGAGCCACCAGGAGCCCAUUUGUUGCCCAGAGUGAAGCUGGCUGGAAUGAAGUGGAAUUAGAAUGGCAAAAGCCUAAUUGAAACGCACAUAAAUGCUUGGCCCUCAGACUUUCAUCGAGAUGAUUGCGGCGAUCAAUAUUCCAGUUUGCCUGGCUGGCAGCUUCCAGGGAAUAAGGACGGAUGACGGACCUGGGGCAGCACUGCCAAACGGAGCAUUAAGUUAAUGCCUGUUGGCCUGGUUUCUGGCUUGCGUGGCAAAGUGUCUUGAGGAGAAGGGGCCCUGCUGGUGCGGACUUCAUCAGGGGCCACAUCUGGUCCAGCAAAGCUCAAGGUGCCGGCUCCCUGCAACUGAGUUUGGUAGGAUGACAGCUCCACUUGCUGAGAUCCCACCACGUUCCCAGUGCAGCGCUUGGCAUCAUACACACACCAUCGGUCCUCCCCAGCCCUCUGGGAUGUCGAUGCGAGGCCCGUCUGAAGUUGAGGACCCGGGGCUCAGAGGGACCAGGGCCACGCUGCUAGCAGGUGGCAGGGCUGUGGCUGGGGUCCUCGACGCUUUACUUGCAAAGCCUGUGUUCUUUCUACCCUCCCAGGCUGAGUAAAUCACAAAUGUGGAUUCU
This is a long non-coding RNA of Phacochoerus africanus (Common warthog), 636 nucleotides long. RefSeq lists it as uncharacterized. NCBI's taxonomy places the organism in Eukaryota, Metazoa, Chordata, Mammalia, Artiodactyla, Suidae. The transcript is spliced from 2 exons. The record is from RefSeq and is a predicted model, not a curated record.